AUGUGCAUUCCUAAGGAUAGAGGGGGCAUGGGCUUUUGUGACGUCCAUAGCUUUAAUUUGGCACUCCUAGCUAAACAGGUUUGGAGGCUUAUUGAGCAUCAUUUGUGUGCAAGGGUACUCCGUUCAAAAUACUACCCAACGGGAGAAUUGCUAAAUUGUGAACUCAAGAAGGGGGCCUCUUUUGUUUGGCAAAGCAUAUUGGCAGGAGCCCAAACUUUCAAGAAAGGGUGUAUAUGGAGGGUUGGUAACGGUUUGAAGUUGAACAUUUGGGAAGAUUGCUGGAUUCCCAACAGUUCCUCAAGGAAAAUUGUGAUGCCCCGAGGAAACAGAGUUCUAACUCGAGUUAAUGAACUUAUCGACCCAGCCUCUGGGGAGUGGGAUGAACAACUUAUCAAAGAUAAUUUUUGGCCCAUGGAUGUUGAUCGGAUCUUACAAAUCCCUUUGCACCAGGGAGAUACGGAGGACUAUGUAGCAUGGCAUUUGACAAGGUCGGGCAUUUUUAGUGUAUGCUCG
RNAcentral lists this ribosomal RNA (513 nucleotides) under Triticum aestivum (bread wheat). Its description in RNAcentral is "partial small subunit ribosomal RNA". Lineage: Eukaryota; Viridiplantae; Streptophyta; Magnoliopsida; Poales; Poaceae. The record is from RNAcentral.